Long non-coding RNA from Contarinia nasturtii (swede midge), 641 nucleotides. RefSeq lists it as uncharacterized. The transcript is spliced from 3 exons. The record is from RefSeq and is a predicted model, not a curated record. NCBI's taxonomy places the organism in Eukaryota, Metazoa, Arthropoda, Insecta, Diptera, Cecidomyiidae.
CAAAUAGAAUGUUGAGCUCCCUGAUUCGUUCAGUAAAGAACUAAAAAAUCUUCUGGAAGGCUUAUUAAUACGUGAUGUCGACAAGCGAUUAGGAUGUCGAGGACGUGGUGCUGAAGAAAUCAAAGAACAUCCAUUUUUUGCUGGUAUUGAUUGGCAUCAAGUCUACAUUCAGAAAUAUACACCGCCAUUGAUUCCUCCCAGAGGUGAAGUAAAUGCAGCUGAUGCUUUUGACAUUGGUUCAUUUGACGAAGAAGAUACCAAAGGAAUUAAACUAACUGAAGCUGAUCAGGAUCUCUAUCGAUAUUUCCCACUUACAAUAUCCGAAAGAUGGCAACAAGAAGUUUCAGAAACGGUUUUCGAAACAGUAAAUUCAGAGGCCGACAAACUCGAACAAAAACGUAAAUCAAAACAAAAGAACCGAUUCGAUGCUGAUGAAAAGGAAUCAGACUGCAUUUUACAUGGUUAUAUUAAAAAACUUGGUGGCGCAUUUGCAUCUGUAUGGCAAACAAGAUAUGCAAAACUGUAUCCAAACCGAUAAUAAUUAUUCUUACCAGUUUAAUUAACGCAACAAACAAUUUACAAAACAUGUAUCUGAUUUUUCAAGAAGGAAAAAGUUGAAAUAGUUUGACAGCUGACUUGAC